AAAAGGCCGCAGUAUUUUGACUGUGCAAAGGUAGCAUAAUAAUUAGUUUUUUAAUUGGAAGCUGGAAUGAAUGAUUGAAUGAAAUAUUAACUGUCUUAAAUUAAUUGUUUUAGAAUUUAAUUUUUAAGUUAAAAAGCUUAAAUUUUAUUGAAGGACGAGAAGACCCUUUAAAGCUUUAUAUAAAAAUUAAAAUAAUUUAUAAGAAUAAUAUAUUUAUUUUAAUUAAUAUAUUUUAUUGGGGCGAUAGGAAAAUUUAAUUAACUUUUUUUUUUAUAGAAACAUUAAUAAAUGAAUAUAUGAUCCAUAAAUUGUGAUUAUAAGAUUAAGUUACUUAAGGGAUAA
This 342-nucleotide ribosomal RNA is filed under the name Pulex irritans. RNAcentral describes it as "partial large subunit ribosomal RNA". The record is from RNAcentral. Lineage: Eukaryota; Metazoa; Arthropoda; Insecta; Siphonaptera; Pulicidae.